AGAGUGAACGCUGGCGGUAGGCCUAACACAUGCAAGUCGAACGGCAGCACAGGAGAGCUUGCUCUCUGGGUGGCGAGUGGCGGACGGGUGAGGAAUACAUCGGAAUCUACUCUGUCGUGGGGGAUAACGUAGGGAAACUUACGCUAAUACCGCAUACGACCUACGGGUGAAAGCAGGGGAUCUUCGGACCUUGCGCGAUUGAAUGAGCCGAUGUCGGAUUAGCUAGUUGGCGGGGUAAAGGCCCACCAAGGCGACGAUCCGUAGCUGGUCUGAGAGGAUGAUCAGCCACACUGGAACUGAGACACGGUCCAGACUCCUACGGGAGGCAGCAGUGGGGAAUAUUGGACAAUGGGCGCAAGCCUGGAUCCAGCCAUACCGCGUGGGUGAAGAAGGCCUUCGGGUUGUAAAGCCCUUUUGUUGGGAAAGAAAUCCAGCUGGUUAAUACCCGGUUGGGAUGACGGUACCCAAAGAAUAAGCACCGGCUAACUUCGUGCCAGCAGCCGCGGUAAUACGAAGGGUGCAAGCGUUACUCGGAAUUACUGGGCGUAAAGCGUGCGUAGGUGGUUAUUUAAGUCCGUUGUGAAAGCCCUGGGCUCAACCUGGGAACUGCAGUGGAUACUGGAUGACUAGAAUGUGGUAGAGGGUAGCGGAAUUCCUGGUGUAGCAGUGAAAUGCGUAGAGAUCAGGAGGAACAUCCAUGGCGAAGGCAGCUACCUGGACCAACAUUGACACUAAGGCACGAAAGCGUGG
RNAcentral lists this ribosomal RNA (750 nucleotides) under uncultured Stenotrophomonas sp. RNAcentral describes it as "bacterial SSU rRNA". It matches the Rfam family "Bacterial small subunit ribosomal RNA", at positions 26 to 764 of the family's 1533-position model. Lineage: Bacteria; Pseudomonadati; Pseudomonadota; Gammaproteobacteria; Lysobacterales; Lysobacteraceae. The record is from RNAcentral.